GGAAUACAUUGAAAUAUCUGUAAAAACUAUGCAAUAAAAACUAUAAAACAUUUCUUCAAAAAAUAAAUGCUAGCUAAAUAAGAGAGGGAUAGACCAUGCUGAUAUAAGAAUAUAGAAAAACUCGAAGUGUAUCUGGUGAGUGGGCUGGAGCCCUUGUCUGGGCCGGAAAAAAAAAAAAGCCCUCCGAUCCAUCUUUGAGUUGCUUCUCUUCCUUUUUUCUCUCCGGUUUCUCAUCACUCCAACCAGCCGCGACCAUGCCCAGGAAGAAGGCGGCCUGGGAGGAGCCGAGCUCGGUCAACGGCACUGCCCGCGCCGGGCCCAGGAAACGCGGCGGCCCAGCGGGCAGGAAGCGCGAGCGGCCCGAGCGCUGCAGUAGCAGCAGCGGCGGCGGUAGCAGCGGCGACGAAGACGGCCUGGAGCUCGACGGGAUCCCCGGCGGGGGCAAGCGCGCGGCGCGGCCGGCGGCGGCAGGCAAGGCGGGCGGUGCGGCAGUGGUCAUCACCGAGCCCGAGCACACCAAGGAGCGCGUCAAACUUGAAGGGUCAAAGUGCAAAGGGCAGCUUUUGAUUUUUGGGGCAACCAACUGGGACUUGAUUGGUCGAAAAGAAGUGCCUAAACAGCAAGCUGCUUACCGCAAUCUCGGUCAGAAUUUGUGGGGGCCCCAUAGAUAUGGGUGCCUGGCGGGGGUCCGGGUACGGACAGUGGUCUCGGGCUCCUGUGCUGCACACAGCCUCCUCAUCACCACGGAAGGGAAGCUGUGGAGCUGGUGUCGAAAUGAAAAGGGGCAGCUGGGACAUGGUGACACCAAGAGAGUAGAAGCCCCCAGACUCAUCGAGGGUCUCAGCCACGAAGUGAUUGUGUCUGCAGCAUGUGGGCAGAACCACACCUUGGCCUUGACGGAAACGGGUUCCGUGUUUGCUUUUGGGGAAAACAAGAUGGGGCAGCUGGGCCUUGGUAACCAGACAGACGCCGUCCCCAGCCCCGUGCAGAUAAUGUACAACGGCCAGCCAAUUACCAAAAUGGCCUGUGGGGCUGAAUUCAGUAUGAUAAUGGACUGCAAAGGAAACCCCUAUUCCUUUGGGUGCCCUGAAUAUGGUCAGCUGGGACACAACUCAGAUGGGAAGUUCAUCUCCCGGGCACAGCGGAUAGAGUAUGACUGUGAACUAGUUCCCCGGCGAGUGGCCAUCUUCAUUGAGAAGACGAAAGAUGGACAGAUUCUGCCUGUACCAAACGUGGUUGUGCGAGACGUGGCCUGUGGCGCUAACCACACGCUGGUCUUGGACUCCCAGAAGCGAGUCUUCUCCUGGGGCUUCGGUGGCUAUGGCCGACUGGGUCACGCAGAGCAGAAGGAUGAGAUGGUCCCCCGCCUGGUGAAGCUGUUUGACUUCCCUGGACGUGGGGCUUCCCAGAUCUAUGCUGGUUACACCUGCUCCUUUGCCGUCAGCGAAGUGGGUGGUCUGUUUUUCUGGGGGGCCACCAACACCUUCCGUGAAUCUACCAUGUACCCAAAAGCAGUGCAGGACCUCUGCGGCUGGAGAAUCCGGAGCCUGGCUUGUGGGAAGAGCAGCAUCAUUGUGGCCGCCGACGAGAGCACCAUCAGCUGGGGCCCGUCACCGACCUUUGGGGAACUGGGCUAUGGGGACCACAAGCCCAAGUCUUCCACUGCAGCCCAGGAGGUGAAGACUCUGGAUGGCAUGUUCUCAGAGCAGGUCGCCAUGGGCUACUCACACUCCUUGGUGAUAGCAAGAGACGAAAGUGAGACUGAGAAAGAGAAGAUCAAGAAACUGCCAGAAUACAACCCCCGAACCCUCUGAUGCUCCCGGAGACUCUCCGACUCCACACCUCUCGCGGCAGCUGUCAUUUCCACGUGCACUGGGACGGGAAGUCCAACGAGGAAUUGAAAAAGGCAAAAGUUGACCGAAGGUGCAUUUUUGUUUAGACUCCCUGAGGUUCCGUUUUACAAAUGAUCCAACGUUAACUACCUUUUUUUCUGUAUGCUUUCCAAAGUCCCUUUCCCCCUUCAUGUCGAAUUAAAACACUUGCUCAUAGUUGACUUAUCAUUCCUACAAAAGAGGCCGAAACUUUGAGCAAUCUAGGUUGUUUUUGUUUUGUUUUUUUUCCUUUCUUCCUCUCCUGAAUACACUCCCCAAAACACCCCUUUCCAGUUAUAAUUAGCAUCGUGAUCCAAGCGGAUGCUACACGGAAGAGGAAUCGCCAUUUACUCGGAAAAAAUGUCCCUUACAGGAACCGGCAGCAGACAGGCAAAGUCGCCGGCCCGCCUCCAUCCCAAAUCACGCUCGCAUGCUUCGGAAGCAUCCGGGUCACUCCUUUCCCGCUUUUUCUUGCAGAUCGGCCUAGGCCGGUGUUGAUUCUGUUUCUCCCCUUGGCUGCCUGUACGCCCACAGCCUUCUGGCUGCGACAUUAGAGAAUCGGCCGUGUCCCCCCUGGUGGGGGACUGGGGGUCUGUGUUUAGCCAUUUAUAUCUACUCUAGCUGUUAAAGAAGUCCAAAUGAAAAUCAGGUGACUGUGGAACCAUGGGGACUUGCGGGUGGGGCAGAGGUGGGAACAUUUGUAUCAGUUGAGUUAGCUUCGUGGCUCCCUGUGGAGCCAGGGCUGAGCCUUGUCACGUGCAUUCGCCAAUUAGAGAUUGAUCAGCCAGCAGUCAAGUGCAUUCUCCAGUCCUUGCAAGAAGGAUCAGCCCUUUCUGUACCAGCCUCGAUCGCCUUGUGCUUUGGUCUCCUUUUCUCCCCCGCCUGGAUCCUGCCUCGCGCGGGCCGUCCUGUUGCUGAGACUCGGGGUACCGUUCUGCUGACCCAGCUCCCUUUAGUCACGUUUGCUUGGCUCUGGUACCAAAUAGUUGGGAUUACCGAAGAGUCCCCUUCCUCGCGUGUCAGCACGGAUGCUGUGACUGCCACCUGCGUCCCUGUCAAGUGCCCGUGCCCGAGCUCGCUGCUGUGUGCGCUGCGCUGAUCGCUCCUUACCGUGACUCCUGCCCUUGGAGGGCACGUAGCAGUGUCUGUCCUGCCAGUCCCAAGGCCCUGUGGGAGGAGACUGGCCUGCAUCUCUCUGAGACUUAGUCUGACGCCGCGCGCAUCUCUUGUUCUGUGUUCAAUCAGUAGUCCAGGGGAGAAGCUUCUGCCACUUCAGAGCUUUGCUAAACUAACCCAAUUUGUCCAAAUCACCCCAGAACCACCAUCUCUGACUCAAGCUUCCAUGCGACAGCCUGAUCCGUUUCCCUGGACAGGUCUCUUUCCUGGAACGCAGCCCAGGCACCUGUGCUCCUGGCACCUUUGAGGUCUCUCCUUUGAGUUGUGGCCACCAAGAGAGUUGAGGACGCAGCACCCGAGGUCCCAGCCUUUGCAGGAGCCACCCUGGGCGGAGCUGGACUUAGAUCUUCGGUGGCCUCCUAUAAAGCCGCAGCCAGCCUCUUCUAGAACUAGCCCAGGGACUGGAGCAGGAAAGGACCUUCGAAGCGAAGACUGCCUUGUCCCGCACUUCUUCCGGCUUCGAUGGAAAAAAUGGGCUUCCUAAUGGGUUAAAUCCUUUAAAACAAGGAGUUGGGGGGGAAGGGUGUCGUGCACUCCUAGAGAAAGGUACACAGUUGCCCGGCUGGGAACGUGCUUGGCGCUGACCCUGCGGGCAUCUGACUGGUCUUCCAGCUCAGGAAAAAGAAUUUGAAAGAGGCUUAGCGUGAAGGGGAAUCAAAGAGGAGGUUGUGAUUUGGUCGAAGGUGCCUGGUUUAGUGCUGUAAUUGUCUUAUUAUUUUUUUAUAUAUAUAUAUUUCUUGGAGUAAACAUUUUAAAUAAACAAA
RNA transcript from Cercocebus atys (sooty mangabey), 3811 nucleotides. It is a transcript of the gene named protein RCC2 pseudogene, with no coding region annotated. The transcript is spliced from 2 exons. The record is from RefSeq and is a predicted model, not a curated record. NCBI's taxonomy places the organism in Eukaryota, Metazoa, Chordata, Mammalia, Primates, Cercopithecidae.